GCGGCUUUCAAAUUGCCCGCAUUUUAUUAGUGAUGUAAGACAAAGAAAUUUUCUGGAUUGACCAGCGGUCAUUUUUUGACUUUGACUGCAGUUCCCGCCAAAAUGGAUUUUGAGGAGAAAAUUAUUUUACAACGAAAUUGACCGAAAAAAUUUAUGAUGACGUCAGUAAACUUUUGUGAUCUGACUGAGCGUAAACAUUAUGGUCAUUUCGCAUCACUACAUUUCAUUGAAAAAAAAGUGAUUCCUUUCGUGGAAAGGUAACGUUGCAGAAUGAAAUGAUCGAGGUCGUCGAACCAAAGUUACCCCCCACUCCAGUAAAACCUUUCCCUACUGAAUCGUUUACUCUCGACUGAAUUCAUUCACUUCAUACAAUUCCACAGAGUAUUUCUAGUCCUCCGUUUUCUCUAAUAAUCAAUAGCUUUAAAAAAAACUACUCUGUGAAAAUUAAAAAUAAAUAGGGCAGAAGCUGAUAAAAAACAGUUUUAUUAAAAGGGUCAACGCUCAGAGAACGGAUAUGGCAUAGCUCAUUCACCAGCGUAUCACAACUUCAAUGUAGAGAGGGAGAGAUUCAUUGAUUUAGGGUUCACGGGAGGAAUUGAUGGGCAUAAGGGGAAUACGAGGGAUUCGUAAUAAACUCGCGGGUGUUGUGUGAAGUAAAAAGGGUGGAAGGAGAAGAAGGAGGCGAGUGAUAAACGACUGAGCAAAAAGUUUUCAUAGGAGGAGAAGGCAUUAAUGGAGUAGGGGAAUUUCGUGAUUGCAACGGUAGGGAAUAAGUUAAGUGGGACCACCGGAAACGCCAGUUAGCUGAGUGAGCCGCAUCCGCUUAAAUCUACACUUCACAACUAAUGUAAUCAAACUGUCACCUAUUCUACAACUUUUCCAACUAUGCUUAUAAUGGGAUAACGAUGGGACCUAUUUUUUAAAUUUCAUAUUCCAGUUUUUUUUUUAAAGAAAAAUGUCCAAAAAAAUAUCAUGCUCAG
Microplitis mediator is the source of this 980-nucleotide long non-coding RNA. RefSeq lists it as uncharacterized. The transcript has 3 exons. The record is from RefSeq and is a predicted model, not a curated record. Lineage: Eukaryota; Metazoa; Arthropoda; Insecta; Hymenoptera; Braconidae.